This 489-nucleotide ribosomal RNA is filed under the name uncultured bacterium. RNAcentral describes it as "partial 16S ribosomal RNA". It matches the Rfam family "Bacterial small subunit ribosomal RNA", at positions 28 to 507 of the family's 1533-position model. The record is from RNAcentral.
GUUGAACGCUGGCGGCAGGCCUAACACAUGCAAGUCGAACGGUAACAGGAAGCAGCUUGCUGCUUCGCUGACGAGUGGCGGACGGGUGAGUAAUGUCUGGGAAGCUGCCUGAUGGAGGGGGAUAACUACUGGAAACGGUAGCUAAUACCGCAUAAUGUCGCAAGACCAAAGAGGGGGACCUUCGGGCCUCUUGCCAUCGGAUGUGCCCAGAUGGGAUUAGCUUGUUGGUGGGGUAACGGCUCACCACGGCGACGAUCCCUAGCUGGUCUGAGAGGAUGACCGGCAACACUGAAAUGGAGACAGGGUCAGGACUCCUACGGAGGGCGGCAGUGGGAAAAAUUGACCAAUGGCGCAAGCCUGAUGCAGCCAUGCCGCGUGUAUGAAGAAGGCCUUCGGGUUGUAAAGUACUUUCAGCGGGGAGGAAGGGAGUAAAGUUAAUACCUUUGCUCAUUGACGUUACCCGCAGAAGAAGCACCGGCUAACUCCGUG